CAUUUGUUUUCUAAUUGCUUGAAAUUUGGUAAUUUCCUUAGUGUUUUCCUGGCCGACCUGUGCUGGUAUUGUAAUUAAGAGCUAAUACACCAUUCUCUGGUGAACUGCAGCUGCGGCCGAAUUUGAUUGUGUGCAUCAUCCUGCAGAUAUUUUGAAAUUUUGUGGACGCUUCUGUUGUGCUGCGUUCCUGCUCCGCCCGUGUUUUAUAGUGUUGCGUCCCUGUUGCGCCUUUGC
Molecule: long non-coding RNA, 234 nt
Organism: Rhagoletis zephyria (snowberry fruit fly)
Lineage: Eukaryota; Metazoa; Arthropoda; Insecta; Diptera; Tephritidae
Source: RefSeq, a predicted model, not a curated record